AUGGCAGCAGAGAAGGCACCGGGCCCGGACGGUUUCAUUGGGCUUUUCUUCAAAAGAUGUUGGCACACGAUUAAGGUGGAUUUGCUGAAUGCCCUUAACCAGCUCUCUGCCCUUGAUGCUAGAAACUGGAACCUGUUGAACUCUGCAUUCAUUGUCCUAAUCCCGAAGAAAGAAAAUGCUCUACGCGCUGCUGAUUAUCGCCCAAUAAGUCUUUCCCACAGUGUUGCUAAGAUCCUGGGAAAACUCCUUGCCAAUAGACUGGCGCCAACUAUGCAGCAUCUAAUAUCUAUGAGCCAAAGUGCCUUCCUCAAAGGAAGAUCGAUCCAAGACAAU
Molecule: ribosomal RNA, 333 nt
Filed under: Triticum aestivum (bread wheat)
Lineage: Eukaryota; Viridiplantae; Streptophyta; Magnoliopsida; Poales; Poaceae
Description: partial small subunit ribosomal RNA
Source: RNAcentral